This 924-nucleotide ribosomal RNA is filed under the name Cladosporium herbarum. RNAcentral describes it as "LSU rRNA". It matches the Rfam family "Eukaryotic large subunit ribosomal RNA", at positions 23 to 973 of the family's 3401-position model. The record is from RNAcentral. Lineage: Eukaryota; Fungi; Ascomycota; Dothideomycetes; Cladosporiales; Cladosporiaceae.
ACCCGCUGAACUUAAGCAUAUCAAUAAGCGGAGGAAAAGAAACCAACAGGGAUUGCUCUAGUAACGGCGAGUGAAGCAGCAAUAGCUCAAAUUUGAAAUCUGGCGUCUUCGACGUCCGAGUUGUAAUUUGUAGAGGAUGCUUCUGAGUGGCCACCGACCUAAGUUCCUUGGAACAGGACGUCAUAGAGGGUGAGAAUCCCGUAUGCGGUCGGAAAGGCGCUCUAUACGUAGCUCCUUCGACGAGUCGAGUUGUUUGGGAAUGCAGCUCUAAAUGGGAGGUAAAUUUCUUCUAAAGCUAAAUAUUGGCCAGAGACCGAUAGCGCACAAGUAGAGUGAUCGAAAGAUGAAAAGCACUUUGGAAAGAGAGUUAAAAAGCACGUGAAAUUGUUAAAAGGGAAGGGAUUGCAACCAGACUUGCUCGCGGUGUUCCGCCGGUCUUCUGACCGGUCUACUCGCCGCGUUGCAGGCCAGCAUCGUCUGGUGCCGCUGGAUAAGACUUGAGGAAUGUAGCUCCCUCGGGAGUGUUAUAGCCUCUUGUGAUGCAGCGAGCGCCGGGCGAGGUCCGCGCUUCGGCUAGGAUGCUGGCGUAAUGGUCGUAAUCCGCCCGUCUUGAAACACGGACCAAGGAGUCUAACAUCUAUGCGAGUGUUCGGGUGUCAAACCCCUACGCGUAAUGAGAGUGAACGGAGGUGAGAACCGCAAGGUGCAUCAUCGACCGAUCCUGAUGUCUUCGGAUGAAUUUGAGUAAGAGCAUAGCUGUUGGGACCCGAAAGAUGGUGAACUAUGCCUGAAUAGGGUGAAGCCAGAGGAAACUCUGGUGGAGGCUCGCAGCGGUUCUGACGUGCAAAUCGAUCGUCAAAUUUGGGUAUAGGGGCGAAAGACUAAUCGAACCAUCUAGUAGCUGGUUCCUGCCGAAGUUUCCCU